AGCUCCAAUAGCGUAUAUUAAAGUUGUUGCAGUUAAAAGCUCGUAGUUGGAUUUCUGGUGAGACGGAUUAUGUCUAGGUCGAAAGAUCUUGUUCAUGGUUUGUUUCGCCCUUCUUGUCAGGAACCCGCUGAGAGUCAAAUCUUGUCGGUGGAAUGGCAUCAUUUACUGUGAAAAAUUAGAGUGUUCAAAGCAGGCAUCGCCGUUGAAUACAUUAGCAUGGAAUAAUAAGAUAAGACUUUGGUGGUCUAUUUUGUUGGUUUGCACGCCGAAGUAAUGAUUAAUAGGGAUAGUUGGGGGUAUUCGUAUUCUAUUGCUAGAGGU
RNAcentral lists this ribosomal RNA (321 nucleotides) under uncultured eukaryote. RNAcentral's name for it is "SSU rRNA". It matches the Rfam family "Eukaryotic small subunit ribosomal RNA", at positions 587 to 912 of the family's 1831-position model. The record is from RNAcentral.